RNAcentral lists this ribosomal RNA (254 nucleotides) under uncultured bacterium. Its description in RNAcentral is "partial 16S ribosomal RNA". It matches the Rfam family "Bacterial small subunit ribosomal RNA", at positions 524 to 776 of the family's 1533-position model. The record is from RNAcentral.
CACGUAGGGGGCAAGCGUUGUCCGGAUUUAUUGGGCGUAAAGAGCUCGUAGGUGGUUCGGUAAGUCGGGUGUGAAAACUCUGGGCUCAACUCAGAGACGCCACCCGAUACUGCUGUGACUCGAGUCUGGUAGGGGAGUGUGGAAUUCCCAGUGUAGCGGUGAAAUGCGCAGAUAUUGGGAGGAACACCAGUGGCGAAGGCGGCACUCUGGGCCAGUACUGACACUGAGGAGCGAAAGCGUGGGUAGCGAACAGG